AUUAUUCCGGUGAAGAGGCAGAGUAAUUAAGGUAGCAGGUUGUAAAGAGAGGAGAGGCCGCGGCUGAGAGCCCUCCCAAUUUGUCUUGAUGAAUGAACACCUCUGAGGAUUUUCUCUGAACGUGUAGAUCAGUAGGAGAUGACGUUAACAGGCGUUAACUGUUUAAAAGUGGAAGCAAGUUCAGUUUGCUUCAAUUAGGGUGGCACCACGGGUAUAUAACUCUCGUCCCUGAU
RNAcentral lists this non-coding RNA (233 nucleotides) under Alkalihalophilus pseudofirmus. Its description in RNAcentral is "Bacillus pseudofirmus T-box sequence". It matches the Rfam family "T-box leader". From Rfam's summary of the family: Uncharged tRNA acts as the effector for transcription antitermination of genes in the T-box leader family. T-boxes are found upstream of many aminoacyl-tRNA synthetase genes and some amino acid biosynthetic genes usually in Gram-positive bacteria. The record is from RNAcentral. Lineage: Bacteria; Bacillati; Bacillota; Bacilli; Caryophanales; Bacillaceae.